RNAcentral lists this ribosomal RNA (492 nucleotides) under uncultured bacterium. RNAcentral's name for it is "partial 16S ribosomal RNA". It matches the Rfam family "Bacterial small subunit ribosomal RNA", at positions 29 to 507 of the family's 1533-position model. The record is from RNAcentral.
AGUGAACGCUGGCGGUAGGCCUAACACAUGCAAGUCGAACGGCAGCACAGUAAGAGCUUGCUCUUACGGGUGGCGAGUGGCGGACGGGUGAGGAAUACAUCGGAAUCUACUUUUUCGUGGGGGAUAACGCAGGGAAACUUACGCUAAUACCGCAUACGACCUACGGGUGAAAGCAGGGGAUUUUCGGACCUUGCGCGAUUGAAUGAGCCGAUGUCGGAUUAGCUAGUUGGCGGGGUAAAGGCCCACCAAGGCGACGAUCCGUAGCUGGUCUGAGAGGAUGAUCAGCCACACUGGAACUGAGACACGGUCCAGACUCCUACGGGAGGCAGCAGUGGGGAAUAUUGGACAAUGGGCGCAAGCCUGAUCCAGCCAUACCGCGUGGGUGAAGAAGGCCUUCGGGUUGUAAAGCCCUUCUGUUGGGAAAGAAAAGCAGCAGGUUAAUACCCCGCUGUUCUGACGGUACCCAAAGAAUAAGCACCGGCUAACUUCGUG